Molecule: long non-coding RNA, 1810 nt
Organism: Equus caballus (horse)
Lineage: Eukaryota; Metazoa; Chordata; Mammalia; Perissodactyla; Equidae
Source: Ensembl
GCCAAUGGCACAGCUUCCGAGCUGGUCUAGCUGAGAAUGGGGUUAGGAAGACGUUGGGAGGCACCAGGUUGUUGCCAAGAGUGAGGCCAAAGUUCAUUGGUCUCUGAGUGCACGUGUGGGUCACGCUGACCCAGCUUAUGGACUUUGCACACCAUCCCUACGGAGAAUUGUGCCAAUAACGGCCCCCCAUAGAAUUGCCCCCACCCUGUGACUUUGUUCUUCUGCUAUCACCAGAUUCAUGGAUGAUCCUGUGAAUAACAGCUCCUGGUGGCGAAUUUGAAACUUUGUUUUUAAAGAUGACAGUUUGUCACGGACAAAGAUGAUCAGACCUUUAUCGUUGGGUAGAGAGGGCUGUCCACUCUUCUCUGAGAAGUCCCAGCAUUUUGGUCACAACACUGAGCCCUCCCAGCCGGCCGGCCAGUGGGGGCCACGUCCAGAGGCUGUGUCCCCAAACUACCCCUGAUCAAAACUGGCAGGCAGGGGAGACUCCAGGAUCGCCAGAGGGAGGUGGUCAUCUCUGAGGAGUGGUCUUGGGCCCGGUCCCCAACCUGCAUCUCCAAAGCCAGCACAGUUUCACUUCCACUGUAGGGUAAAAAUCAGCAGGUGUUAUGGGCUGAAAUGGUGUCCCCCAAAUUCACAUUUUGAAAUUUUAAACCCCUGGUACCUCAGAACAUGACUCUAUUUGGAGACAGGGUCUUUAAAGAGGUAAUCAAGGUAAGAUGAGGUCAUAGGGUGGGCCCUAAUCCAAUACAACUUGUGUCCUUAUGGGAAGAGGAGAUGAGGACGCAGACAGGCACAGAGGGAGCCACAUGAAGACAAAGAGGAGAAGAGAGGCCUCGGAAGACACCAACCCUGUCAACACCUUGAUCUCAGACUUGGAGCCCCCAGGACGGUGAGGAAAUCCAUUUCUGCUGUGGAAGCCAUCUCGACAGUGGUACUGUUAUGGCCUCCUGAGUGAACGAACACACCCAGUUUCCUAGAGACACACUUUAAUGUAAGAUGGACAAAAUGGCCUUUGUACACAGCAAAGACUAUUACCUACUGGUGGUGGCUCAGAGCAGGCAAGGUGGAGAAGUAAUGUCAGCACCCACCCAGCAUGAGGAGCACCCAGGACUUGCCUCGCCAUGUGGCUUCCAAUUAACCUGUCAAGACUGCAGCCCUGUGUGAAGCUGCAGCCGGGCCCUGAGGCCUCCACCUGGUCUUGCCAGGCCUGUCUCCAGGGACCAUUUGGGACCCUGACACUCCUCUCAGUUCUCUGACUCCCAGACCACCUCUCCCAUCUCUGUCACCAGAGAUUCUGGCUGCUAAGUUUUGACUCCCCACCGCCAUCAGACCCUGGAGCGUGGUUGCUGGUCUGGGGGAGAUUGCCCGUCUCCACAUCCAUGCCCUUAGCCAAGCUUGAAGCCCUGGGCAUUCUUCCUCUCAGAGGCCACACCCCUCAAACGUAUCCAAAAGCAGCCACGUGCCACAUCACAUAUAAUUUUCAUAAACUAUAGGCGCUGAGUUGCAAUUGUCUAGUCAACCUUUUGUAGACAUUUAAUCAUUUCAUCCUUACAGCAUACUUUCCUAAUUUUAGAGCUGGUAAUGAUCCUGGCUGUGGCUCAGGUGUUUCCAUGGAUGUUUGAAAAGCUGGCUGGCCCUGGGCACCAGCUGUGGACCCAGCUGUGGGUAGUCCCGAGGGCCCUUCCCAGGAGGUACCAGCAUGCACUGGGUGUGCCUGACCCAAGAGGAGCCCUCCCAGCACCUGGUGGCCAGUUGCGAUGCCCCACCCCCCUUCCAGUGCUGCAGGGGAGAAGGAGGGGCACUUUUC